Molecule: ribosomal RNA, 253 nt
Filed under: uncultured bacterium
Lineage: Bacteria
Description: partial 16S ribosomal RNA
Rfam family: Bacterial small subunit ribosomal RNA
Source: RNAcentral
UACGGAGGGGGCUAGCGUUGUUCGGAAUUACUGGGCGUAAAGCGCACGUAGGCGGGUUGGCAAGUUGGGGGUGAAAUCCCAGGGCUCAACCCUGGAACUGCCUUCAAAACUCCCAGUCUGGAGGUCGAGAGAGGUGAGUGGAAUUCCGAGUGUAGAGGUGAAAUUCGUAGAUAUUCGGAAGAACACCAGUGGCGAAGGCGACUCGCUGGACAAGUAUUGACGCUGAGGUGCGAAAGCGUGGGGAGCGAACAGG